UGGGGAAUAUUGGACAAUGGGGGGAACCCUGAUCCAGCCAUGCCGCGUGUGUGAAGAAGGCCUUCUGGUUGUAAAGCACUUUAAGCGAGGAGGAGGGUACUGGUAUUAAUACUACCAGGUACUGGACGUUACUCGCAGAAUAAGCACCGGCUAACUCUGUGCCAGCAGCCGCGGUAAUACAGAGGGUGCGAGCGUUAAUCGGAUUUACUGGGCGUAAAGCGUGCGUAGGCGGCUAAUUGAGUCGGAUGUGAAAUCCCCGAGCUUAACUUGGGAAGUGCAGUCGAUACUGGUUAGCUAGAGUGUGGGAGAGGAUGGUAGAAUUCCAGGUGUAGCGGUGAAAUGCGUAGAGAUCUGGAGGAAUACCGAUGGCGAAGGCAGCCAUCUGGCCUAACACUGACGCUGAGGUACGAAAGCAUGGGGAGCAAACAGG
RNAcentral lists this ribosomal RNA (430 nucleotides) under Pseudomonadota bacterium. RNAcentral's name for it is "Proteobacteria bacterium partial 16S ribosomal RNA". It matches the Rfam family "Bacterial small subunit ribosomal RNA", at positions 355 to 776 of the family's 1533-position model. The record is from RNAcentral. Lineage: Bacteria; Pseudomonadati; Pseudomonadota.